UACGUAGGGGGCUAGCGUUGUCCGGAAUCAUUGGGCGUAAAGAGCGUGUAGGCGGCUCGGUAAGUCCGCUGUGAAAGUCCAGGGCUCAACCCUGGAAUGCCAGUGGAAACUGUCGAGCUAGAGUCCGGAAGAGGCGAGUGGAAUUCCUGGUGUAGCGGUGAAAUGCGCAGAUAUCAGGAGGAACACCAAUGGCGAAGGCAGCUCGCUGGGACGGUACUGACGCUGAGACGCGAAAGCGUGGGGAGCAAGCAGG
This 253-nucleotide ribosomal RNA is filed under the name uncultured bacterium. RNAcentral's name for it is "partial 16S ribosomal RNA". It matches the Rfam family "Bacterial small subunit ribosomal RNA", at positions 524 to 776 of the family's 1533-position model. The record is from RNAcentral.